GACGAACGCUGGCGGCGUGCUUAACACAUGCAAGUCGAACGGAAAGGCCCUGCUUUUGUGGGGUGCUCGAGUGGCGAACGGGUGAGUAACACGUGAGUAACCUGCCCUUGACUUUGGGAUAACUUCAGGAAACUGGGGCUAAUACCGGAUAGGAGCUCCUGCUGCAUGGUGGGGGUUGGAAAGUUUCGGCGGUUGGGGAUGGACUCGCGGCUUAUCAGCUUGUUGGUGGGGUAGUGGCUUACCAAGGCUUUGACGGGUAGCCGGCCUGGGAGGGUGACCGGCCACAUUGGGACUGAGAUACGGCCCAGACUCCUACGGGGGGCAGCAGUGGGGAAUAUUGCACAAUGGGCGGAAGCCUGAUGCAGCAACGCCGCGUGUGGGAUGACGGCCUUCGGGUUGUAAACCGCUUUCGCCUGUGACGAAGCGUGAGUGACGGUAAUGGGUAAAGAAGCACCGGCUAACUACGUG
This 468-nucleotide ribosomal RNA is filed under the name uncultured bacterium. RNAcentral's name for it is "partial 16S ribosomal RNA". It matches the Rfam family "Bacterial small subunit ribosomal RNA", at positions 28 to 507 of the family's 1533-position model. The record is from RNAcentral.